UACGUAGGGACCAAGCGUUGUUCGGAUUUACUGGGCGUAAAGGGCGCGUAGGCGGCUUAACAAGUCACUUGUGAAAUCUCCGGGCUUAACUCGGAACGGCCAAGUGAAACUGUCAAGCUAGAGUGCAGAAGGGGCAAUCGGAAUUCUUGGUGUAGCGGUGAAAUGCGUAGAUAUGUGGAGGAAUACCGAUGGCGAAGGCAGCCCCCUGGGAUAACACUGACGCUCAUGCACGAAAGCGUGGGGAGCAAACAGG
Molecule: ribosomal RNA, 253 nt
Filed under: uncultured bacterium
Lineage: Bacteria
Description: partial 16S ribosomal RNA
Rfam family: Bacterial small subunit ribosomal RNA
Source: RNAcentral